CAGCAGCCGCGGGAAUACGGAGGGGGCUAGCGUUGUUCGGAAUUACUGGGCGUAAAGCGCACGUAGGCGGCUUGGUAAGUUAGAGGUGGAAGCCCGGAGCUCAACUCCGGAAUUGCCUUUAAGACUGCCGAGCUAGUAGGUGAGAGAGGUAAGUGGAAUUCCGAGUGUAGCGGUGAAAUGCGUAGAGAUGUGGAGGAACACCAGUGGCGAAGGCGACUCCCUGGUCUGUAACUGACGCUGAGGAGCGAAAGCGUGGGGAGCGAACAGGAUUAGAUACCCCAGUAGUCCUGUCUCUUAUACA
RNAcentral lists this ribosomal RNA (301 nucleotides) under uncultured bacterium. RNAcentral's name for it is "partial 16S ribosomal RNA". It matches the Rfam family "Bacterial small subunit ribosomal RNA", at positions 509 to 809 of the family's 1533-position model. The record is from RNAcentral.